CCUACGGGAGGCUGCAGUGAGGAAUAUUGGUCAAUGGACGAGAGUCUGAACCAGCCAAGUAGCGUGAAGGAUGACUGCCCUAUGGGUUGUAAACUUCUUUUAUAUGGGAAUAAAAUGUUCCACGUGUGGGAUUUUGUAUGUACCCUAUGAAUAAGGAUCGGCUAACUCCGUGCCAGCAGCCGCGGUAAUACGGAGGAUCCGAGCGUUAUCCGGAUUUAUUGGGUUUUAAGGGAGCGUAGGUGGGUUGUUAAGUCAGUUGUGAAAGUUUGCGGCUCAACCGUAAAAUUGCAGUUGAAACUGGCAGUCUGGAGUACAGUAGAGGUGGGCGGAAUGCGUGGUGUAGCGGUGAAAUGCUUAGAUAUCACGAAGAACUCCGAUUGCGAAGGCAGCUCACUGGACUGCAACUGACACUGAGGCUCGAAAGUGUGGGUAUCAAACAGGAUUAGAUACCCCGGUAGUC
This 460-nucleotide ribosomal RNA is filed under the name uncultured bacterium. Its description in RNAcentral is "partial 16S ribosomal RNA". It matches the Rfam family "Bacterial small subunit ribosomal RNA", at positions 338 to 795 of the family's 1533-position model. The record is from RNAcentral.